Molecule: ribosomal RNA, 259 nt
Filed under: uncultured Glomus
Lineage: Eukaryota; Fungi; Glomeromycota; Glomeromycetes; Glomerales; Glomeraceae
Description: partial 18S ribosomal RNA
Rfam family: Eukaryotic small subunit ribosomal RNA
Source: RNAcentral
AAGCUCGUAGUUGAAUUUCGGGAUCAAUGUUUCGGUCAUGCCGUUGGUAUGUACUGAUAUUAUUGGUUUCUCACCUUCUAAAGAACCGUAAUGCCAUUAAUUUGGUGUCACGGGGAAUUAGGACUGUUACCUUGAAAAAAUUAGAGUGUUUAAAGCAGGCUCACGCCUGAAUACAUUAGCAUGGAAUAAUGAAAUAGGACAUCCGAUUCUAUUUUGUUGGUUUCUAGGAUCGAUGUAAUGAUUAAUAGGGAUAGUUGGG